This 253-nucleotide ribosomal RNA is filed under the name uncultured bacterium. Its description in RNAcentral is "partial 16S ribosomal RNA". It matches the Rfam family "Bacterial small subunit ribosomal RNA", at positions 524 to 776 of the family's 1533-position model. The record is from RNAcentral.
UACGGGGGGGGCAAGCGUUGUUCGGAAUUACUGGGCGUAAAGGGCUUGUAGGCGGCCAACUAAGUCAGACGUGAAAUCCCUCGGCUUAACCGGGGAACUGCGUCUGAUACUGGAUGGCUUGAGUUCGGGAGAGGGAUGCGGAAUUCCAGGUGUAGCGGUGAAAUGCGUAGAUAUCUGGAGGAACACCGGUGGCGAAGGCGGCAUCCUGGACCGACACUGACGCUGAACGGCGAAAGCUAGGGGAGCAAACGGG